CAGAAGACCAGUGAGAGGCCAAAGAGGAAAGAAAGUAGGGGGGGGAAAGGGGCUAGAGGAAGUGGACACUUGGCGUAGGGGAGUGAAUAUCUGGGACUGAACCAUUACUGAGCGUUCUGACGCAGCAGCGGAAACUGAGAGCAGUGGUAGCCCUUGAUGAGACGGCUUUGACUGGCCAGGCUGAGAUUCUUUGACCGAUGUGAAAGACGCAAUGCGAAAUGAAGUAUCGCUAAGAAAAGGCUACGCUGACACUGGGGAACGUCUCUUUCUGCAGGCCAGACACGUGGACAUGUGGCCGUAGUCCGUGGAUGCCUUUGAGGAGCCUCCUACCCGGCAUUCACCGUCAGGCUGAAACGCAGCACUGGGGAGCAACCAAAAUGCUCAUUUCAAGUUUUUAUCACUGCCAUGAAGGGUAAAAAGUGUUUGGAUCCAGGUUUAUGGCCUUGUGUGGGUGUCAUGCUUCUAAGCUCCUGCCUGUCCUUGGAGAAAGGGACUGUAAAACUGCACUGACAGGUACGGCUGGUUGGAAGGAAGAAAGCCGCAGCCAGUCGUGGCGGCGCUGCGAGAGGCUGAAGAGGGCUGACGAGUGUCAUCACCAGCUGGAGCCAGGCCAACGCGCAAAGUGCAAGGCAGCACGGGGAACGGCAGCAAGCGGCCUGGGGCGUGCGAGCUAUUUUGAAGACAGCUGCCAUAAUUUUACAUGCACUUCCAGCAUCAGCUGUUGAUCUAAUCGGCUUUGGAAGGCCAGCUCUCCUCGUGACAGCUCUGAGGAAUACAGACACAUGGCAGAAGUGGCAGUGAUGUUUCAACAAGCGACACCCUUUCCUCAGUCAGCAUGAAGAAAAUGCCAGGGAAGUGAGAGAGACACCACCUUUAAAUAAGACUUAAAACCUGAACCCCCUUAAAACUGAGACACACUCUGCAGUGUACACACAAUGAAUAUGUGUAUGCAGUGAUACAUGCAUGGCUGAUGUGCAGAUGUCAAGGAAUCCUGAAUCUCAGUGGGGAGAUGCAGAGACCUUCUGGCAGUUUACAAUACUGCAUGAGGUUCAUAAAUGCUAUUGGGUAUUUGUGCAUUGCACAAACUAGUUUUAAAUAAAGUAAUUCAGAUAGUGUAAACA
RNAcentral lists this long non-coding RNA (1121 nucleotides) under Struthio camelus australis. RNAcentral's name for it is "lncRNA (ENSSCUG00000008051.1)". The record is from RNAcentral. Lineage: Eukaryota; Metazoa; Chordata; Aves; Struthioniformes; Struthionidae.